Molecule: long non-coding RNA, 4517 nt
Filed under: Prunus persica (peach)
Lineage: Eukaryota; Viridiplantae; Streptophyta; Magnoliopsida; Rosales; Rosaceae
Description: long non-coding RNA (PPER_LNC003968)
Source: RNAcentral
UACUAAACAAAAUAGCUUAUAGGACCACCUACGAAUAAUCUUCCUCACCCCGAAACUCAGAUUGACUAAAUAUAUAAAUUUGGGUAUCUAUAAAGAAAUCACAGAAGAAAGAAAAACGUCGGGAAAACAAACAGUUGGUGGGAAGCUGCUACGAACCUCAAAUUUACAGCAGCCAAACAAAGUCGGAGCUUUGUCUCCAUUUUUCCACAGAACCGUAUUAACAAGUUACAGAAACCAAUCUUUGACAUGGUCAUGAGGCAAGCGGGGGUGUUUCGAAAAUUCAGAAAGCUUUAUAAUCAAUCUCCAGGUCAACAGUCAAGAAUCAUGUUAGUCAAUAAUGUUGAAAAGACAAAAAGAUCAAGGCUUUUUUAGCUCAUAACAACCCAACUUCAAUUUGAAAGAUAAAGUUUUGUUAUUGCUGUCACAUAUUAUGUGUUAGACAAUCACAAUUUGUCUGAAAAAUAACAAGGGAAGUGGAGUUGAACCCAAAAAACCACGUUUUUCUUUACCUUUUAAUAAUAGCAUAAGAUAUUUGAACACAUACAAAACAUAUGUAUCAAAUCUAAUAAUAGCAUAGGCUAGCAUUGGAUCAGGACAUUAAAGGGAUGUUAUACUACUAACACCCGUCUUAUAAUGUUUUUUUGGCGCAUUUUAGCAAAAUAUCCCAUGAAAGGAAAACCUUCAUUCACUAUACCAAAAGGAAAACUUCAGAAUGGCCAAAAGUCAGUAGAUGCAAAAAUUUGCAAUUUCUUAUCGUCCUUGAAGAAGUGUUAUGGUAUCUUCAUUUGCAGAGCAAAUAUUGUCAAACUGUGGUUGUGGAUCAGAGACUGAGCUUUGGGAAGUAAAAAUAGGCCGCUUAGGUUGUGGGCGAUCUGUCUCCCUACUCAGCAUGAAAACUACAUCUGGCAUGGUUGGCCUAUCUGCAGCAUUGUCCUGUACACAAAGAAGCCCAAUGUGCACACAUCUCAUCACUUCUGUUGACGAAUAUGAAUCUGCCAAAACUUCAUCAACCAAGUCCAAUCCCCUGCCUUCAUUCCAUGAGUGCCAUGCCUGAAAAAGUUUCAUAUAUGUUGGCUACAAUUGUUAGACUCUGUUGUAUUUAGCUUCAUAUAGAUUGUUUGACAAUUUAUAAGAGUUUAGAGUGUGAACUUACAUAAUCUAUGAAGCCUAGCUGUUGGUCAUGGUAAUAGAAGCUGGUAUUUUUCCUGCCACCAACAAUCUCCAACAGCAAGACUCCAAAGCUAUAUAUAUCGGAUUUUUCAGAAAAUAUCCCGCGCAUGGCAUACUCCGGAGACAUAUAGCCACUGUACAGGAAAUUCAUUAUCCACUAACUUAUUAUUAUUCCUGAUAACAUGCUAAAAAGCAUUGGAAAUUUAGUUGGUUAAUAACAAUUCUGAUAAUAGGGAAGAAAUGAUUCUUACAGAGUUCCCACAACCUUCUGAGUGUUUGCUAGAUUCUGUGUCCCUUCAAAGAUACGUGCCAGUCCAAAAUCCGAAAUUUUUGGGCUCAUCUUCUCAUCCAACAGAAUAUUACUUACCUUCAAAUCUCUAUGUAUUACCUUCAAACAUGAAUCAUAGUGGAGAUAAAGAAGUCCUCUAGCAACACCUUGAAUAAUAUUGAAGCGUUUAGCCCAAUCAAGCUCUGCUCUUCUCAUUGGACCUAAUCAAUUCACCCAUUUGAAAUGAAAUCAGUAGUGUCAUUCAUAUAUUUGGUGCAUAGUUCAAUGAAAACAAUGAUUUAAUUGCUAUAAAAUAGAGACACAGUUGUAAGAACACUAGUAAGCAGCGCUUAAACAGGUAGGUGUGAUAUACUGAAGAGCUAAACUGUACUCAAAGAUUGUGCAUAUCAGUUAAUAGUUCCCCUGAGCUCCACAUUCUAGGAAAAGCUCAUAGAUUACCAGUGAUAUUGAAGAAAGAUAUGUAACAAUGGGAAAUUGCAGCCUAACAUAAAGGGCCAGUGAAACUUACUGAACAAAAGAGUAUCCAAGCUUUUGUUUGGCAUGAACUCAUAAAUUAGUAGCUUCUCAUCAUCUUUAAUGCAGCAACCCAUGAGCCUUACAAGAUUCUUAUGUUGGAGUUUGGAGAUCAACAGCAUCUCAUUCUUGAACUCUUCUAUGCCUUGUACUGAGCUACUAGAUAGUCUUUUUACUGCUAUUUCCUUCCCUUCUUGUAGCUUACCCUACACAAGGUCCACAAAUUAAUCAUUGCAUUCAUGUCUGUAUCAUUAUAUAUAUCCUUCGAAAAGAAAAAAAAGAAAGAAAGAAUAAUCACCCUAUAUACAGGCCCGAAUCCUCCUUCUCCGAGUUUGUUUGUGAUGCUGAAAUUGCUCGUAGCAAUUAAUAUGGUAUCAAAAUCAUAGAUUACUAGCUCUGAUGGAUCAUGUUUUCUUAUAUAUUCAUGAAGAAGAGCGUCUCUUGAAGUCUCAAUCAUAUCAGCCAUUUCAGAGUCCUUAGGUGUUACUUUGACGUUUCCUGAUUUGCAAAUAUAGCAACCAAACUCGAAGUCAGAGAAAAACAAAAAAGCAGUAAAUAUGCUCUUAUAAUGUAAUGCAUUGAAGUUAUAUUGUUUUGAUUAAUACUUCAAACAGAGGAAGGGUGAGAUCAUGGGCUAAUGCAUUAAUUGCAUCCCUCCACCUCAUUCUCUUACUCUUUUGGUUAGAUCGCAAUCUGUGCAAGCUAAACACUAUGCCAGCCAAGAUACUGAUAAAACAAACAGCUAUGAGGCUGACCAUUAUCUUUAUUUGCUUUCUUUCACCUGAAAAAAUGAAUUUGUGUCACAUAAAGUAGGUGACAGAGAAAAGAAAAGAUACUGCUAAUUAGAGUUGUGCAAGCAAUAUUAUCACUUACCUAAUUCUGCAUGUGCUAGGCGAAUAAAAAGAUCGUCUCCACCAGAGGCAAACUCUUGAAUAUCAAUAAGGUCUUUGGACCAGACCAAACACCCUAUAUUGUUAAUAUGUGUAUAAGCCAGGCAAGAACAAUUACCUACGCACUGUACCUUGCAGUCUUCAGCACCCAAAUUCGAAAUAUACUCAUGAAAAUCUGGUAGGUUUACCUUUGACAUUUUCAAAAACCCAUCUUGUUUUCCUCUCAGAGGAACUGAGUUACUUGUGUUACUCCCACAAAACAAUUUGGUUUUCCUCACACACCCCCCUGCCUUGUUUCCUUUGCUCCAUUCCUCUUGUGACUUGGGUUUAAACCCUUUCAAACACUUGCAGAUUGGAGACUCGGAAGCUUUGCAAACCCCAAAAGGUCCACAUAUUCCAUAAUGGUCACAUGGAUUCUUUGGGGCCUCAAAGUCAAGAUUCCAGUUCUCACCAUGUUCGGAAUACAUAAGCUUUAGUGUACCUUUAUAAGAGAUUUCCAUAUAUGCCAGAAUUCUGUUCAAGAAAAAAGAGAAAUACUUUGUUCCCUGCUGCACAUUAUCAUCUAGAUUUAAUCCACUUACAUAUUCAUCCUUCAUUCCUGGUAUGCCGAGGAACUUUGUUUUGUCCCAUGGCCCACUUCUCCAGUAGGGAGUUGAUCCAUUAAUCCAAAUGAACAUUUGUGUUGGGAUCUGUGGUGCCAAUCCAACCGAGAACAACCCGGUUGAUCCAUCACUCUCACUUUUCCAGGCAGUCAAGACAUCCCUCUUUCCAGAUUUGUUAUCGAAUCCCAGCAACAUCAUUGGUAGAAGUGUGUCACCAGGAAAAUCAAAGCUCCUCCAUAAUUGAGCUCCUAUAUCAUCUUGGACAACAAAGUUUCCACUGUCUAAAAGAAGUGCAGCUGAACCAUUAGAUGGCACUGAAAUACUGGUUGACCAAAUACAACUCUGUUUCCCAUCUACAAGCUCCAGGUUCCCAUUGCUGUUAAUUGUCAAACUAGCCAAUGUGUCUGUAACUGAAAGAGCCUUUUCUCUGUUGGCCACCCAAACAACUUUGCGGGGAAAUAUAGUCUUGUGCCAUAUCCCCACAUACUUGUUAGAAGAAUUAUUAGGACUGAAGAAGCCCAAUUCGAAAAUGUGGCCUGGAGAGACAAGAGUUUGUCCCUCUGCUAAUGGUUGUGAAGAAGUUAUGUUAUAAACUUCUGCACAAUAAUGCUGUGACAGAAACCAAUUGAAAAAGAAUAGGAUGAAGAUGGAGGGAUUAAAAGCAUGAAAAGUUUCAGUUCUCUUACCCAUUUCAAGCUUGUUAAUCUCCUUGCCCAACACGGGGUAUCUAAAGCGUUACUAUCUGGUUGGGGCCUGCCUUACUGACGUACCCAUUACUAUUAAAUUAUUAAUCCUUGGGCGAUUGACCAGCAAAAAGAAAAACUAGUCAUGCGCAGUAAGCUACUUAAUUCUAAAAAAAAUUGCUUACAGGACCACCUAUGAAUAUAAUCUUCCUCACCCCGAAAUUCAAAUUGACUAAAUAUAUAAAUUUGGGUAUCUAUAAAGAAAUCACAAAAGGAAGAAAAGGUCGGGAAAACAAACAGUUGGUGGGAAGUUGCUACGAACCUCAAAUUUACAGCAGCCAGACAAAGUCAGAGCUUUGUCGCCAUUUUU